ACGGCUUUCGAUAGACACCUAAAACCUUCGCCGAGGGGGAGGUGACCUGAGGUGACGUCACUGCAGGCGCCUCCCGGCGCUGAAGGACCCCGCACGCUGACGGGCCGGUGCGCAAGUUUUAACUGGAGCGGCGCGCUCCGUCAGAGUGCAACCGGGCCCAGGCGGAGACUCGAGGACUACGUCUUCCGGCGGCCCCCGCGCGCCGGGCGGACCCCGAGCAGUUCUUCCUGCCGCCGCGGGCGCGCCUGAGGGGGCGGUUCGCCUCGUUAGACGUUGUCGUCGUCACCGCUGACCAGUCCUUCUUCCCAGACGUCUCUCUUCUCACAGCUCCCCCGCCUUCCGUGUCCACUUGCCGUCCGGCCCCGCGCUCCUCGGCCUCUUCCCCACCCCCACCCCCACUCCGGAAGCCCUGCCAAGCGCAGCGCUUGGCCGAAUCCUGGGCAGUGGCCGGCUGCUAACAAAUGUUAUUAAAAUAUCUUGCAAAGGGAAAAAAAGAGAAAAUCUUCACUUUACAGCAAUUCCCGGAUACACCCAAGUCCUCAUCCUCUUGUUUGAAUCGAAGUUUUCCCCGAUAUCCGCUGCCACCAGAAUCUUUUGAUGAUCCCAGCUUGUUGCCAUGGGUUACCUUGCUCGGAAGCCUCAGACGUCGCUUCUCGACGUCUGGUUAGGAAGUCCGAAUUCUUAGCGUCCCAUACAAGAACUGCAUGCAUUAAGGAGACGUCCCAGGCCCUAUCAGCUCCUUCCUAAAUCUUCGGAUGGAAAUUGCAACUGAAAACAGCACCCACCCCCACCCACCCCCACCCCCCACCCCCCGCCACUUCCAAGAAAGCAGUCUGUGUUCCUCUCCAAAUGCCGGCAUCCCUGUCCUUGCUUGUACACGCUCUGCGGUUGAAGCUGGCUGUGAAGUGGAGGAACCAGGUGUCCAGCAGUCGCUUAGAUCACCUGCCCUUGGCACUGAAGACACGUCUGUACUCGUCCGAGGGGCUAAUGUGGGAUGUGCAGAAGACAGGAGUAGGGUUAAAGUGAAAGGAGAAGCGAGAAAGGGGAGAGGAGCCCCUGUGGUCCUGAUGACUUUACAUGUUCCAUGUCUGCCUUCCAACCUCGGACAAACAGGUCUUAACAGUAGCUUCCCUCCCCAAAUGUUUCCCCCCACCCCACCCCUUCCCGGCCCAGGGUAUCUUAGCCAGGGAGGCACCAGCUUAUGCUCCAGCGUUGGAUCGCUCUGCACUGUCCACCCGCCUACACGACAUCCCUACCCUUGCAGGAACUGGGAACUCACUGCUGCCUUCCUGUCCCCUGCACCUGCCUGGACCGCGCUUCCUGCCAGCGUGGCAUUCUGUAACCCUCCUGUCCUGCCAGGCCGCUCGUUCUACCUCCACGACCGCAGUGUCAUCAGGGUCUUUUCCAGUGCGUCAGCUCUCGACAUCAGGUGGCCAAAGGACUGGCGUUUCAGCACAGUGGUUUUUCUAAAAUAUCUCUUCAUUGCUACAGGAACCCGGAAGAGAUCGUGGGACAUCGUAUGUCCUUAUGAUUUAAUUGAUUCAGUCAUAAAGUGUGGCUUCCAGAACAGCACUGGGUCAAAGGGAGAUGACAUUGGAGAGCUUGAGCAUUAGCAGGGCUUGAAGGUCAAUUAAAAUUGCAAAAACAUUAAACCUAAUUAAUAGAGGGCCAGGCAUAGUAUGCCAGGAACAGCCUAGGAUAGAUCUUUGCAGAAUGACAUCUCUCACGUUUGUUCCUGUUGAUGUGCAGUCAAGGGCGUUUCUCCCUGGGGUGGAGAUCAAGCAGUUCCUGUAACGUCUCAUUUUUAUUGGAAGGAGCUAUGGCCGCAGGUGUAGACCUUAACUGAUCCACGGAAGUCGAGGGAGUUUGGCUGCUCGGGGACUUGGAAGGAAUAAGAUUGGAGGCCUGGUCACAAGGGGUCUGGCGCAUAGGCAUAGCUACAGAAUCUGCUUCCUACAAAAGUUUUGCUCCCCGAAGUCUUCAGUAACCAGGUAGCUCAGAUGACCUGUCUGUGUGGAUCAGUUACCCUCUCCCCACACCACCUUGGUUUUCCAGCAGCACGCUGGCCGUGGUAUCUUGGAUGAAGAUGAAUAACAGCCCAGGCUUUCCUUCACAAAGCUGAUCUGUCAGCCUGCCACGGGCUUCCCCGGCCAAGAGCUGACAGGGCUGAGUGUCAGAGACAGUGUCAUUCCUUGGGGAGUGGGAAAUGGAAUGUUGCCCGCUGUAUCAGAAAACAAAGGAUGAGAGAGCCAUCAGCGAUUGCAGCCACCACCACCCGCCCUCCCCCCCGGGCAGCCCUGAGGGAACUCAGGAUGGAAGCUCAGGAGGAAUGCCAGCCAGUCGUCAUCACACUGAAUCCACCACCGACCCCCACCCACUGGGCGGCCCGCGGAGGCUCAGGAUGAGAAAGCAGGGGUCUUGGGCCCAGACAGCUGAGGUGCAGAUCAAAGGACUGGCUUCAGUGAGCCCAGCCUCUUGCAUCUUCCCAUACGUGGGAAAGCACUGAAUUCCUUAACCUGAGAUGUCUGGCUUCCUUUAAUCAACAAGAAGCUUUUGAUGUUCAGACUGCCUGCCCCUUGUCGUAAAACUUCUAUAUAACCUGGAAACCACCUUCAGGCGGGAGAAGUGAACAGUUAACCCUGGUACGCUGCCCACAAGCACACAGACCCCAGACCAAUUGGAACCUGAAGGUCGAUUAUGCUGACUCAUACUCACCUCACCAUCAGCCAACCAGAAGAAUGCUCACAAGCUGAUCAUGUCCUCUUUGAAGCAUUUCUAUAAAACCCCACACUCACUCACUGGUGGGGACACGCCAUUUUCAGGACUUUAGUCCCCUCUGAACCCCUUUGCCUGGUAAAGCAAUAAAGCUGUAUUUUCUGUUUCACCCAAAUCUCUGUCUCCAAGAUUUACUUCCGUGUUGGGGUGCAGAGGCGAGAUUUGACUUCAACAUCCCUGUGGGGUUAUGUGGUCUUCCCUUCCUACCCAAACAUUGACAUGCAGCUGGGUGUUCAAAAUGCUGGGAUAGUC
Molecule: long non-coding RNA, 3027 nt
Filed under: Capra hircus (goat)
Lineage: Eukaryota; Metazoa; Chordata; Mammalia; Artiodactyla; Bovidae
Description: lncRNA (ENSCHIG00000003995.1)
Source: RNAcentral